GAUGAACGCUGGCGGAGUGCCUAACACAUGCAAGUCGAGCGGCAGCGCGAGUAGUUUACUACUUGGCGGCGAGCGGCGGACGGCUGAGUAACGCGUGGGAACAUGCCCCAAAGUGAGGAAUAACUGCCCGAAAGGGUAGCUAAUGCCGCAUACGAUCUUCGGAUUAAAGGAUUUAUCCGCUUUGGGAGUGGCCUGCGUACGAUUAGAUAGUUGGUGAGGUAAUGGCUCACCAAGUCUACGAUCGUUAACUGGUUUGAGAGGAUGAUCAGUCAGACUGGAACUGAGACACGGUCCAGACUCCUACGGGAGGCAGCAGUGAGGAAUCUUCCACAAUGGACGAAAGUCUGAUGGAGCAACUCCGCGUGCAGGAUGAAGGCCUUCGGGUCGUAAACUGCUUUUAUGAGUGAAGAAU
This 412-nucleotide ribosomal RNA is filed under the name uncultured bacterium. RNAcentral describes it as "bacterial SSU rRNA". It matches the Rfam family "Bacterial small subunit ribosomal RNA", at positions 28 to 450 of the family's 1533-position model. The record is from RNAcentral.